CGGGCGCUGCGCCUGCCCCCAGAUCUCCAUCGGAAUGCAGAAAACAUCUUAGAAAAAAAGUAGUUUGAAUUCCUGAAUGAUUUUUCCUGUAGAAAGGGGCUUAGGAUAAUGAUUUCAGCUUUAUUGAGGGCAGAUUAGUAGCAGUCUCGAUGCUGCCUCUCAAUACGCGCUGUACAUGCCUUUACAAUGUGC
Xenopus tropicalis (tropical clawed frog) is the source of this 192-nucleotide non-coding RNA. The record is from Rfam. Lineage: Eukaryota; Metazoa; Chordata; Amphibia; Anura; Pipidae.